GAGGGGCAGCGCGGGAUAGCAAUAUCCUGGCGGCGACCGGCGGAAGGGUGCGUAACGCGUGAGCGACAUGCCCGUUGCCCGGGGACAACCGGUGGAAACGCCGACUAAUCCCCGAUGGGAUACGAUGCUUCAUGGCAUUGUAUUGAAAGUUACGGCGGCGACGGAUUGGCUCGCGUCCGAUUAGCUGGUUGGCGGGGUAACGGCCCACCAAGGCUACGAUCGGUAGGGGUUCUGAGAGGAAGGCCCCCCACAAUGGGACUGAGACACGGCCCAUACUCCUACGGGAGGCAGCAGUGAGGAAUAUUGGUCAAUGGGCGGAAGCCUGAACCAGCCAUGCCGCGUGCGGGAAGGAGGCCCUAUGGGCUGUGAACCGCUUUUGCCUGGGGGCAAUGAGGGCGUCGCGCACGUCCGAUGAGAGUACCAGGCGAAUAAGCAUCGGCUAACUCCGUGCCAGCAGCCGCGGUAAUACGGGGGAUGCGAGCGUUAUCCGGAUUCAUUGGGUUUAAAGGGUGCGUAGGCUGUGCGUCAAGUCGGGGGUGAAAUUCCGGUGCUCAACACCGGGGCUGCCCUUGAUACUGUCGCGCUGGAGUGCGGAUGCCGCCGGAGGAAUGAGUGGUGUAGCGGUGAAAUGCUUAGAUAUCACUCAGAACACCGAUUGCGAAGGCAUCUGGCGAAUCCGUAACUGACGCUGAGGCACGAAAGCGUGGGGAUAGAACAGGAUUAGAUACCCUGGUAUUCCACGCCGUAAACGAUGAUGGCUAACCGCCGGCGACAGACUGUCGGUGGCCAAGCGAAAGCGAUAAGCCAUCCACCUGGGGAGUACGUCGGCAACGAUGAAACUCAAAGGAAUUGACGGGGGCCCGCACAAGCGGAGGAACAUGUGGUUUAAUUCGAUGAUACGCGAGGAACCUUACCCGGGCUCGAACGGCACCUGAAUCACCCAGAGAUGGGCGAGUCUUCGGACAGGUGUCGAGGUGCUGCAUGGUUGUCGUCAGCUCGUGCCGUGAGGUGUCGGCUCAAGUGCCAUAACGAGCGCAACCCCUGCCGCCAGUUGCCAUCAGGUGAAGCUGGGCACUCU
RNAcentral lists this ribosomal RNA (1078 nucleotides) under uncultured bacterium. RNAcentral's name for it is "bacterial SSU rRNA". It matches the Rfam family "Bacterial small subunit ribosomal RNA", at positions 64 to 1141 of the family's 1533-position model. The record is from RNAcentral.